CCCUAGCCCUGAUGGGAGGGAAAAUCCUUUUGUGCCGGGGUUCGGCACAAAAGAUUGGAAGGACAGCAGGAAAUAGC
This 77-nucleotide small RNA is filed under the name Flavobacterium aquidurense. Its description in RNAcentral is "Flavo-1 RNA". It matches the Rfam family "Flavo-1 RNA". RNAcentral also lists the same sequence under 1 other name. Lineage: Bacteria; Pseudomonadati; Bacteroidota; Flavobacteriia; Flavobacteriales; Flavobacteriaceae. The record is from RNAcentral.